AGUAGUUGGUGUAAAGGCACGUAUUAUUUUGAUUAAUAAAGAAAUAGUGUAAUUCUAUUACUAUU
RNAcentral lists this transfer RNA (65 nucleotides) under Octolasmis warwickii. RNAcentral's name for it is "tRNA-Gln". The record is from RNAcentral. Lineage: Eukaryota; Metazoa; Arthropoda; Thecostraca; Poecilasmatidae.